GGCCGCGUGGCCUAAUGGCAAGGCGUUGCUUUCCGGUGGCAAAGAUUGCGAGUUCGAGUCUCGUCGCGGUCG
RNAcentral lists this transfer RNA (72 nucleotides) under Peltaster fructicola. It matches the Rfam family "tRNA". Rfam says of the family: Transfer RNA (tRNA) molecules are approximately 80 nucleotides in length. The record is from Rfam by way of RNAcentral. Lineage: Eukaryota; Fungi; Ascomycota; Dothideomycetes.